Molecule: ribosomal RNA, 406 nt
Filed under: uncultured bacterium
Lineage: Bacteria
Description: partial 16S ribosomal RNA
Rfam family: Bacterial small subunit ribosomal RNA
Source: RNAcentral
GAUGAACGCUAGCUGCAGGCUUAACACAUGCAAGUCGAGGGACCGGCGCACGGGUGAGUAAUACGUAUCCAACCUGCCCUUUACUCGGGGAUAGCCUUUCGAAAGAAAGAUUAAUACCCGAUAUAAAGGAUGGGGAUGCGUUUCAUUAGGUUGUUGGUGAGGUAACGGCUCACCAAGCCUUCGAUGGAUAGGGGUUCUGAGAGGAAGGUACCCUGCAUUGGAACUGAGACACGGUCCAAACUGCGACGGGAGGCAGGAGUGAGGAAUAUUGGUGAAUGGGGGCUAGCCUGAACCUGCCACGUGUCGUGAAGGAUGAUGGCUUAUGGGUCUUAAACUUCUUGUAAAUAAGAAUCUGUAUUAUAUGAAUAAGGAUCGGCUAACUCCGUGCCAGCAGCCGCGGUAAUUC